UAUAUCUUUUUAGAAACUGUAUGCAGAGGUGCUCCACCGAUACCUCAAUGUACAGCACGUUACGAGAAGUGUGUGCCUGGUGCGAUUGAUCCUUGUUGCGAAGGCAACGAAUGCAUGGAUUGCAAGGUCGAGGACGUGAUUUGCGACUCGAAACGAAGCAGAAAAGAUUAUUGGUGCAAGAGAUCGCAAAAUGUUCGUUGGCAAUGCCCUAGAAUGUGUAACGUCUGCGAACACAGAUGUAUCAAAAAAGAUGUCAAAAAAAUUUGGAAAAUAUGGCGACACAUGAAAGCAUUCUAUUGAAGUCAGCCUCUUAUUUAUUAAUAUAAGUAUAUAAAUGGAUAGAAAUACCUCCAGAAAGCAUGUCAGCGCAUGUUCGGCUUGUUAAUCUUGUUUCAACUAUACUGUAAAAAGACAAUAUGCUAUUAUUAUUUUAUUAUUGUGAAAAAGGCAGAAAAAGAAUCGCUUUUUUGACAAUCUUACAAAGGAAAUGGUCAUAACGUCCAUUAUUUUUUAAUUCAUAACUAUUAAAAUAUCUUUAAAUUAAGAAUU
Dendronephthya gigantea is the source of this 549-nucleotide long non-coding RNA. RefSeq lists it as uncharacterized. The record is from RefSeq and is a predicted model, not a curated record. The transcript has 3 exons. Lineage: Eukaryota; Metazoa; Cnidaria; Anthozoa; Malacalcyonacea; Nephtheidae.